GACAGAGUGAGACUCUGUCUAAAAAAAAAAAAAAAAGAAUGAGAUCAGACUUGGGGGUAGGGUCCACAGAACAAGAUGCUGCAUCCCCUGAGAAAGAGAAGAUGAACCCGCCGGAACAGUAUGAGCGAAAGGUGAAUGCGUCUGUUCCAAGGGGGUUCCCUUUCCACUCAUCGGAGAUUCAGAGGGAUGAGCUGGCACCAGCUGGGACAGGGGUGUCCCGUGAGGCUGUGUCGGGUCUGCUGAUCAUGGGAGCAGGCGGAGGCUCCCUCGUGGUCCUCUCCAUGCUGCUCCUGCGCAGGAAGAAGCCCUAC
This 311-nucleotide small RNA is filed under the name Pongo abelii (Sumatran orangutan). RNAcentral's name for it is "retained intron". Lineage: Eukaryota; Metazoa; Chordata; Mammalia; Primates; Hominidae. The record is from RNAcentral.